RNAcentral lists this ribosomal RNA (543 nucleotides) under Bifidobacterium pseudocatenulatum. Its description in RNAcentral is "bacterial SSU rRNA". It matches the Rfam family "Bacterial small subunit ribosomal RNA", at positions 145 to 699 of the family's 1533-position model. The record is from RNAcentral. Lineage: Bacteria; Bacillati; Actinomycetota; Actinomycetes; Bifidobacteriales; Bifidobacteriaceae.
UUCUCCUGGAAAACGGGUGGUAAUGCCGGAUGCUCCGACUCCUCGCAUGGGGUGUCGGGAAAGAUUUCAUCGGUAUGGGAUGGGGUCGCGUCCUAUCAGGUAGUCGGCGGGGUAACGGCCCACCGAGCCUACGACGGGUAGCCGGCCUGAGAGGGCGACCGGCCACAUUGGGACUGAGAUACGGCCCAGACUCCUACGGGAGGCAGCAGUGGGGAAUAUUGCACAAUGGGCGCAAGCCUGAUGCAGCGACGCCGCGUGCGGGAUGACGGCCUUCGGGUUGUAAACCGCUUUUGAUCGGGAGCAAGCCUUCGGGUGAGUGUACCUUUCGAAUAAGCACCGGCUAACUACGUGCCAGCAGCCGCGGUAAUACGUAGGGUGCAAGCGUUAUCCGGAAUUAUUGGGCGUAAAGGGCUCGUAGGCGGUUCGUCGCGUCCGGUGUGAAAGUCCAUCGCUUAACGGUGGAUCUGCGCCGGGUACGGGCGGGCUGGAGUGCGGUAGGGGAGACUGGAAUUCCCGGUGUAACGGUGGAAUGUGUAGAUAUCG